ACUCCUACCAUGGCGAUUGCAAAGUGCCAAUGUGAUAUCUCAAGAAAUAAUGGGGGAAAAAAAGGAAGAAAGAAAGAGAGAGAGUGAGUGCAGAAUCAGUCUCAAGUUCGGUGGAGCCAGCUCCAGCCUCCACCAAGCCAAGCCAACCCUGUGGCAAGGUUGAACCUGGAUGGGCACAGAGCACACCCAGUUCUCUGGCCCUGGACAGAAGCAAUACUUUCUGCUUGAGCUUCCUGGGAGGCUGCAAGGGUGAGCUACUUUCUGUCUAGGCCUUACGGAGAGCACAGGGCUCUCCCUGAAGAGCAGGGAAGGAGUCCUGGCUUGCAAGAGGCUCAUAACUACCCACAUGCUUGAGGUCGAGAACCUGGGCACCAGCUUAAGGAGGCCAGACCACCUCUACAAAGUCCGUCCUUUAUCCAACAGAAGGAAAAAUAACCCUGCUUCCAGAAAUUUGGUGAACAUUUCACUUGAACACAUAUCAUGUUUCCACUAAAAUACCAGGAAAAUGCUUGUUAAAUAUAUAAAUGGGUCCAAGAAAAUGGUGAGUAUGUCAUAGGGUGUAAAAAAAAAAAAAAGUAGAGUACCUUGUUUUCUCAAUCUUUUAAAAAAGAUUUUAUUUAUUUAUUUGAAAGGCAGUGAGAGAGAGAGAGAAACAUCUUCCAUCUGCUGGUUCACCCCCAAAUGACCACAAAGGCCAGGACUGGGCCAGGCUGAAGCCCAGAGCCUGGAACUCCCAUCCAGGUCUCCCACGUGAGUGCAGGGACCCAAGCACUUGGUCCAUCCUCCACUGUUUUCCCAGGCUCAUUAGCUGGAAGCUGGAUCGGCAGUAGCCGGGACUCAAACCGGCGCACAUGGCGUUGCGGACAGUGGUUUAACUCGCGGUACCACAGUGCUGGCCCCUAUCUUUUCAGUCUUCUUAACACAGACUGGGUGAAGUGUACAGUGUGGCAUUAAAGCUCUCAAGUUAUGAGCAAGUUCUUUCACUUCUCGGAGUUUCAGUUUCUUCAGUAGAUUUUUCAGAUGUUCAGCAGGGAUAAGAAUUCCUGGGGACUGAGCAAGACAAUGCCCAAAGCGCCAUAAUGGCCGGCUCCGGAUAGACAGUCCCUUUCCUACGUGCCCCCUCCAUGACACCCAAGGCAGACGUGCUCCACAGACACACAUCCCCAGAACAGAUACACGCAACACACCCAGACAUGCACACACAGGCACACAUGCCCACACAUAUAUAAUACACCCACCCACCCACACACACACACACAUGCACAUCCUAGAACACACACACAUCCCCCAGAACACACACACACAACACACUCAGUGACAUGUACAUACACUCAUGCUCACACACACAUCUCCUAGAACACACACAUACAAUACACCCAGACACAUACACACACUCACACAUUCUAGAACACACACACACAACACACUCAGACACGGGCACACGCACACCCAUCGCACCCAGACACACACAUGCACACUCACACACCCGGAGCCCGCUUACACGGAUGCACAACUCUCCUGGUGCGGCUCUCACAAUCUUCCAUGAGGGCCCCGAGGAGCUGCUCCCUUGGCUUCUGUACAGUUGUGUUCAUAUGGCUACCAUGGACUCAUUUUCUUUUUUCUUAAUUUGUUUUCCAAAUGCAGGUCUUAAAGGAAAAGUAUCGCCAGGGGAAAAAAAGGCUUCAACGGCCAGGCACGCGAGGACAGGACGCAGCACGGGAAGCAGCCGGAACCGCUGUCCCAGCCCACCAGCCUCCCUCGGCCACGUCCCGCGUCACCUCGGAGUCCUGGCAAUUUCAUAAUUGGCCCAAUGGGUUACGAUUCAAAACCGAAAGAGCCAAUUAGCAGGAGUCUCCUCUGACCCCUGGUUUGGGGUGGGAGGAGACGAGGCAAUGACUUGAGACGGAAGGGGGGGAAAAACUAAACUAAAAAUAAAAACAGAAACUAUCAAGAGCAAAGACCUAAAUCUUUUUGGCUCCCUGAUUAAUACCCCUGUCAUGCCGAUCACAAGCUCUAAACAGCAAUGCUGGUUGCAGCUGAAUUUUUUAUACUUUCUAUUAAUCUUUAAUGAUAGCUUGGUCACCUAGUCUCUUUUAUCUUGUCAGAUAAAUGUAUGGUUAACAGGAUAAUGAGAUUUUUGAAGCUCCGUUCCAGCUCCCAGCUAUCUGGUGCAUGCAGUGACCUCUGACCCCUGGCAGACAGCGGCACCAGGGUGCUCGUAAUUGGUAGGUGUGCUGGGAAUGUAUUGGAAGCUGACGGAUGGUUUAAACUUUGAUUUGAGGUCAGCUGGGUCACCAAGCUCUGGCAGACCAGCCCGGUUUUAUUACCAGCUGCCUCUGAUGGGGAUAUAAUUAGAUUUAGCUAUUGCUUUAUUAAUAAGUAAUCACUUUCCCCACCACUGUGGGUGGGCACAUGUAUUCCUUGGAUAAUUUGAGGACACUGGGCUGGCUUUAUUAAUAAGAAUACAUCAUGCAGUAUUUGGCCAGGGGCAGACACCCAUCUGGAAUUCCAGACUUCGGGCCAGCCUUAUCAUCCUCACUCAUUUCUAGAAUUGGAGAAAUCGCCUGUGCCUAUGGAAAUCCAUCCUUGUCCCAGUGCCUUCCAAUUUCCUGUGGUUAUAGGGGGCCUCUGCGCUGGCCUGCUUCUCCGUGACGUAGGAGAAGAAAACAUGAAAUAAUUUCAUCCAUGCAUUCACCCAUCCACUAGCAUCCCCUCCUCUA
Oryctolagus cuniculus (rabbit) is the source of this 2720-nucleotide non-coding RNA. NCBI's taxonomy places the organism in Eukaryota, Metazoa, Chordata, Mammalia, Lagomorpha, Leporidae. The record is from RefSeq and is a predicted model, not a curated record.